This 491-nucleotide unclassified non-coding RNA is filed under the name Hevea brasiliensis (rubber tree). Lineage: Eukaryota; Viridiplantae; Streptophyta; Magnoliopsida; Malpighiales; Euphorbiaceae. The record is from RNAcentral.
GCAGCACCAUUUCAUCCUCAAAGGUAUAUAGAUGUCUUAAUUUUAUGGUAUCUGUCUCCUUUGCAAAUGCUGCCUGCCAUCAAUUUGUUACACUUCACAAUAAAUUGUUAUCGCAAGUUUUAUGUUGAUAAUUGUGUUAUUGAUCUCAAAGCAUUGUUUAUUAGUAUAUAAUAUCACAGUUUCUUAUCAAAUAGCCUUUCACAUUAGACUUCCUCUAUUUUGGAUGGUAAGCAUGUGGCUAUGUGCCAUUGAUCCGGAAAUCCUAAAGCAGUGAUAUCUGAUAUCGCUAAAUUCAUUUGGGGAGAAAUGAAUAUUGCUAUGGUUUGUUGAAGAUAUCCUCAUUUUUUUAAUCUGUUCUUUCAAUGUGUUCCAGGAAGGUUGUCCUUUCUCCUUACAAUUGCAUUUUAAAUUACCCCAAUGAUGCUCGCAUAUUGGGUCUCAUUAUACAACCUUGCAGAAUUAGGUCUCAAUUUUGAUGGUCAGAGUGGGAA